GACAACUUGAUGACAGGCCCCAAAAUGGGGGAUGGCUUGCAACAUGGCUCAUCUUAGGUGAAACGACCCGUUUAAAUAUAUAUCAGUUCCUCUUGCUAAUGUUAUUAUUAAAAGAAAAAGAAAAGGAUAGGAUUACGAAAAGGAAAAAAAAACAAAAAACUAAGCUAAUUGUAAAACCCACGACAGCACCCACCCACACCCAUUACAUAUUCCUAAUUCUAAAAUGCUAAAACCUACUUACCCAAAUCCUAUGCGAGACAUCUCUCACCCUCCCUCUCGAAACUUCUUUUCUUUUCCUCUGCAACAGUGGCUAUCAUUCUCUUUUCUAUUCUCUUCAUCUUCUUUUUCUCCAUUGAAGUCACACUAAAUCUCACCAUAAAAAAAACAUACGCACAUGAAGGAAAAUUAUGGCAAUCAAGUGGAAAGGCUUUUGGGAUAAUUUUGGAGGCUUAGGGUUUGUGCUCUAAGGAAGGAGAAGAGUACCCACUCCUACAUAAUUAUUCUUUCUAUUUCAUUGAGAUUUGACGGCGAGUGGAUCGUUCGAUGGUCGUAGGAUUGCUGAAAGCAAUCGUGGCUAUUCUUCAUAGUUCUUUGAUGAGUAUUGGAAAGCUGAUUUUGAGACAGUUGAUGAGACUUGAUAUGAUUUGAGAAAAUGGUUUUGGGGAUCCUUGAUAGAACCCCGUAGCCGUUAGCGGAGGUAACGGUCUAGGUGUACCUAACUAGUUUGAUUCCGGGAGGAGAUGGCUAUCCGUUAAAUGGAGCCGCCAGGGCACGGAAAGGGCUAUCAACGAGAUGAAGCUUCCCCCGAUGAGAUAUGACAUGAUUUCGGGUGGAGAGGGCUAUCCGUUAGAUGGAGCCGCCUCUUGGGUAAGAUAAUCCUUAAGAGGAAAGGGCUAUCAACGAGAUGUAGCUUCCCCAGAUGACACGAUGUGACUUGAGAAAGGAAAGGGCUAUCCGCUAGAUGGAGCCACCCCUAUCGGAGAGGCCAUCCCUUAGGAGGAGAGGGCUAUCAGCGAGAUGGAGCCGCCUCAUGGUUCUACAUGUGUGACCCUAUUAAUUAUAUUUCUGGUUUUAUGUUUUUCAUAUAUGGACAUGAUUUUAACUGUAUUUAUUUGAAAUAGUUAUUUAUGAAUUUAUGAUUUUUGUCAAGUUCAUUGUGGAAAUGAUUUAAACUGGUAUUAUUGAUGAUAUAAAUUGUUUAUGUUGAGCUGAGAGCGAAAAACUCGUGCCUAGUUUGUUUCCCCUUCCUGUUCAUGGUGGUUGUUGACUGCUCACUAAGUCUUUGUGACUUACCCCAU
Molecule: long non-coding RNA, 1298 nt
Organism: Lotus japonicus
Lineage: Eukaryota; Viridiplantae; Streptophyta; Magnoliopsida; Fabales; Fabaceae
Exons: 3
Source: RefSeq, a predicted model, not a curated record